UGCGGGGUGGAGCAGUUGGUUAGCUCGCUAGUCUCAUAAGCUAGAGAUCGCUGGUUCGAGUCCAGCCCCACGCAA
RNAcentral lists this transfer RNA (75 nucleotides) under Sphingobacterium sp. UT-1RO-CII-1. RNAcentral's name for it is "tRNA-Met". It matches the Rfam family "tRNA". Rfam says of the family: Transfer RNA (tRNA) molecules are approximately 80 nucleotides in length. Lineage: Bacteria; Pseudomonadati; Bacteroidota; Sphingobacteriia; Sphingobacteriales; Sphingobacteriaceae. The record is from RNAcentral.